CACUGACCGUGUAAAUGUAGCGUAAUCAAAAACCAAUUAAUUGUUGGCUGGUCUGAAUGGCGUCACGAAGGCCCCCCUGUCUUAAGAGAACUCUCCAUGAAAUUGAAUUCGUAGUGAAGAUGCUACGUCCAUAUUGUAAGACGAAAAGACCCCAUUGAGCUUUACCAGAGACUUGUAAAGCUCUCAAAAAUUAGAAAAUGUGGGACGCCACUCUUUUAUUUUAAGAGAGCUAACGGGAUAAUGCAAGUUGGAUAGUUUGGUUGGGAGGGCCGCCUUUUAAAAGGUAACGAAGGUGGGCUUAAGGUCCGUUAGUUAAUAACCGGUGGCCUGACUGCAAGGGGGACACCCCGAGCAGACACUUUUCCAGUGGGUUAUAGCGACCCGUCAUCUUAGGGUAAAAUAGUUGACGAUCAACGAAUAAAUGCUA
Molecule: ribosomal RNA, 427 nt
Filed under: Tealidium konoplinorum
Lineage: Eukaryota; Metazoa; Cnidaria; Anthozoa; Actiniaria; Actinostolidae
Description: Tealidium sp. k ESB-2021 partial large subunit ribosomal RNA
Rfam family: Bacterial large subunit ribosomal RNA
Source: RNAcentral